AUACGUAGGGGGCGAGCGUUGUCCGGAAUGAUUGGGCGUAAAGGGCGCGUAGGCGGCCCGGUAAGUCUGGAGUGAAAGUCCUGUUUUUAAGAUGGGAAUUGCUUUGGAUACUGUCGGGCUUGAGUGCAGGAGAGGUAAGUGGAAUUCCCAGUGUAGCGGUGAAAUGCGUAGAGAUUGGGAGGAACACCAGUGGCGAAGGCGGCUUACUGGACUGUAACUGACGCUGAGGCGCGAAAGUGUGGGGAGCAAACAGGAUUAGAUACCCUGGUAGUCCACACUGUAAACGAUGAAUGCUAGGUGUAGGGGGUAUCGACCCCUUCUGUGCCGCAGUCAACACAAUAAGCAUGCCGCCUGGGGAGUACGGUCGCAAGGUUGAAACUUAAAGGAAUUGGCGGGG
This 397-nucleotide ribosomal RNA is filed under the name uncultured bacterium. Its description in RNAcentral is "partial 16S ribosomal RNA". It matches the Rfam family "Bacterial small subunit ribosomal RNA", at positions 523 to 918 of the family's 1533-position model. The record is from RNAcentral.